Molecule: non-coding RNA, 26 nt
Filed under: Rattus norvegicus (Norway rat)
Lineage: Eukaryota; Metazoa; Chordata; Mammalia; Rodentia; Muridae
Source: RNAcentral
UGCAAUUUGUGGUUGCAGCCGGCCGC